This 159-nucleotide ribosomal RNA is filed under the name Clostridioides difficile. RNAcentral's name for it is "partial 16S ribosomal RNA". It matches the Rfam family "Bacterial small subunit ribosomal RNA", at positions 1384 to 1533 of the family's 1533-position model. The record is from RNAcentral. Lineage: Bacteria; Bacillati; Bacillota; Clostridia; Peptostreptococcales; Peptostreptococcaceae.
UACACACCGCCCGUCACACCACGGGAGUUGGAGACGCCCGAAGCCGAUUAUCUAACCUUUUGGAAGAAGUCGUCGAAGGUGGAAUCAAUAACUGGGGUGAAGUCGUAACAAGGUAGCCGUAUCGGAAGGUGCGGCUGGAUCACCUCCUUUCUAAGGAGA